Podarcis lilfordi (Lilford's wall lizard) is the source of this 325-nucleotide non-coding RNA. The record is from the annotation of a GenBank genome assembly. NCBI's taxonomy places the organism in Eukaryota, Metazoa, Chordata, Lepidosauria, Squamata, Lacertidae.
UGUGGGAGUCAUAAAGCCACGGUAAAGGCUUGUAAUAUUGCAGGGUGCCCCCUGACCUCGGCUGACCAGCACUCUGAGCUUUACAAUGUAUUGGAAUGUAUUAACCUUAUAUGGUGAAGGGGGCAAUAAAAGCCUUGACCGGAUGAGGUAACGUGAGACACUGGCAAACAGCCAUGCGGCUGGAGAGACACAAAGGAUAAUAAAAAAGGUGCAGUAGGAGAGGGAAGUUCGAUAAGGAGUUGCUCCUACCAUCAUGAAAAUAUUGCUGGCUCUCUGUGUCAUUAUUUUAUGCUAAACUUCGCCAUUUGUACGGCUGGCUCCGACA